CCGUAUUUUGUUAUACUUGCAGAAAUGAGUAACAAGAAAGAUUCAGAGCGUGACAUUGAUUGGCAUCAUUAAUUAUAUAUAUUUUUUUAAAUAUAUAUUUAUUCGUAAAAAUUAUUAAAAUAAUAAAUUUAAAAAAUAUAAAAUCAGAGAUUCAGAAUCCUGUUUAGAAUAAUUCAAGCUACUUAAAUCUAACCUCCAAUUUUUUUUGAGAU
Molecule: long non-coding RNA, 212 nt
Filed under: Elaeis guineensis (African oil palm)
Lineage: Eukaryota; Viridiplantae; Streptophyta; Magnoliopsida; Arecales; Arecaceae
Description: long non-coding RNA (EGUI_LNC075906)
Source: RNAcentral